Epinephelus moara (kelp grouper) is the source of this 73-nucleotide non-coding RNA. NCBI's taxonomy places the organism in Eukaryota, Metazoa, Chordata, Actinopteri, Perciformes, Serranidae. The record is from the annotation of a RefSeq genome assembly.
UCCUGGGUAGCCCAGUCGGUAGAGUGUCAGACUUUUAAUCUGAAGGUCCAGGGUUCGAGUCCCUGUCCAGGUG